GAGUUUGAUCCUGGCUCAGGACGAACGCUGGCGGCGCGCCUAACACAUGCAAGUCGAACGAGCGAGAGAGAGCUUGCUUUCUCGAGCGAGUGGCGAACGGGUGAGUAACGCGUGAGGAACCUGCCUCAAAGAGGGGGACAACAGUUGGAAACGACUGCUAAUACCGCAUAAGCCCACGGGUCGGCAUCGACCAGAGGGAAAAGGAGCAAUCCGCUUUGAGAUGGCCUCGCGUCCGAUUAGCUAGUUGGUGAGGUAACGGCCCACCAAGGCGACGAUCGGUAGCCGGACUGAGAGGUUGAACGGCCACAUUGGGACUGAGACACGGCCCAGACUCCUACGGGAGGCAGCAGUGGGGGAUAUUGCACAAUGGGGGAAACCCUGAUGCAGCGACGCCGCGUGGAGGAAGAAGGUUUUCGGAUUGUAAACUCCUGUCGUUAGGGACGAUAAUGACGGUACCUAACAAGAAAGCACCGGCUAACUACGUGCCAGCAGCCGCGGUAAUAC
This 504-nucleotide ribosomal RNA is filed under the name uncultured bacterium. RNAcentral's name for it is "bacterial SSU rRNA". It matches the Rfam family "Bacterial small subunit ribosomal RNA", at positions 9 to 526 of the family's 1533-position model. The record is from RNAcentral.